Molecule: ribosomal RNA, 410 nt
Filed under: uncultured Entrophospora
Lineage: Eukaryota; Fungi; Glomeromycota; Glomeromycetes; Entrophosporales; Entrophosporaceae
Description: LSU rRNA
Source: RNAcentral
UACGGCAGGAGGAAACAAUCCCUCUCGUCCAAGAGGAAACAUGGCGUGGCGAGCCUCAAAACCGUCACGAAGCGUGAACUCUUGGCGAAAAGGAGCACUUUCGUGUCCGCUGGUUAACAUCAAUUUCGAACGUCAUAAAAAGGCUGGAGGGAUGUGGCUCCUUCGGGAGUGUUAUAACCUUUAGCGGAAUGUGGUGGUCGGGAUUGAGGAUUGCAACGAAUACCUUUAGGGCUGUUCCACCUGGCUUCUCUUUGGCAUCCUGGUGACGACAGCUUGCUGACGUUGUUAGGAAUCGCCUUUGAACAGGCUAGAGUGUGAGCAAAUUCGUUAAGGGGAUUGACGUAAAUAUGUUCUCGCUCUCUCAACUGUGUAAGUAUGGUUCGCUGCGGAAAUUUUAAAAACUUUAUUUG